GACGCAACUCGCUCUCUGAUUUACGUCACGGCGCGGGCGGAAGAUGGCCGGGUUGUUCGCCCGCAGCUGCUAACCCGGCAGUGCGGAGCUGGAGCCUGGCUCCCGCUGCCGCGGAGCGGCCGACGCCAUGUCGCUGCUGCAGUCUGCGCUGGACUUCCUGGCGGGCCCUGGUUCUCUUGGCGGAGCUGCGGGCCGUGAUCAGAGUGACUUCGUGGGGCAGACAGUGGAGCUGGGCGAGCUGCGUCUGCGGGUGCGGCGGGUCCUGGCCGAGGGAGGGUUUGCUUUUGUUUAUGAAGCUCAAGAUCUGGGAAGUGGCAGAGAGUAUGCAUUAAAGCGAUUACUAUCCAAUGAAGAGGAAAAGAACAGAGCCAUCAUUCAGGAAGUUUGUUUCUUGAAAAAACUUUCUGGCCACCCCAAUAUUGUCCAGUUCUGCUCUGCAGCAUCCAUAGGAAAAGAGGAGUCGGACACUGGGCAGGCUGAGUUCCUCCUGCUUACGGAGCUUUGUAAAGGACAGCUGGUGGAGUUUCUCAAGAGAGUUGAAUGUAAAGGUCCUCUGUCCUGCGACAGCAUUCUGAAGAUCUUCUACCAGACAUGCAGAGCAGUGCAGCACAUGCACAGGCAGAAACCACCCAUCAUCCACAGAGAUCUCAAGGUUGAAAACUUACUGCUUAGUAACCAGGGGACCAUUAAGCUGUGUGACUUUGGCAGUGCCACAACCAUCUCCCAUUAUCCUGACUACAGCUGGAGUGCCCAGAAGCGAGCCAUGGUGGAGGAAGAGAUCACAAGGAACACCACACCCAUGUACAGAACACCAGAAAUUGUAGACCUGUAUUCCAACUUCCCCAUUGGCGAAAAGCAGGAUAUCUGGGCACUGGGCUGUAUCUUAUACCUGCUGUGUUUCCGGCAGCAUCCUUUUGAGGAUGGAGCAAAACUUCGGAUAGUCAAUGGGAAGUAUUCCAUUCCUGUGAAUGACACUCGUUACACAGUCUUCCAUGACCUUAUUCGUGCCAUGCUAAAGGUCAACCCAGAGGAGAGGCUGUCCAUUGCUGAAGUGGUCCGACAACUGCAGGAAAUUGCAGCAGCUAGGAAUGUGAACCCCAAAGCUCCCAUCACAGAGCUGCUGGAGCAGAAUGGUGGCUAUGGGAACUCAGGGCCUUCCCGAGCACAACCACCUUGCGGGGGCACCGUGAACAGCAGUGGAGUUUUGGCUCUGGCAGAGUAUGACCAGCCCUACGGUGGGUUUCUUGAUAUUCUGCGGGGUGGGACCGAACGGCUCUUCACCAACCUCAAGGAUACUUCCUCCAAGGUCAUCCAGUCUGUGGCUAACUAUGCAAAGGGUGAUCUGGACAUAUCUUACAUCACAUCCAGGAUUGCAGUGAUGUCAUUCCCAGCAGAAGGUGUGGAGUCUGCAAUCAAAAACAAUAUAGAGGAUGUGCGAAUGUUUCUGGAUGCUAAGCAUCCAGGACAUUAUGCUGUCUACAACCUUUCUCCAAGGAUAUACCGGGCUUCCAAGUUUCACAACCGGGUCACUGAGUGUGGCUGGGCAGUCAGACGGGCACCACAUCUCCACAGUUUGUAUACUCUAUGUAGGAGCAUGCAUGCCUGGCUCCGGGAAGACCACAGGAACGUCUGUGUUGUGCAUUGCAUGGAUGGGAGAGCUGCAUCUGCUGUGGCAGUCUGUGCAUUCCUGUGCUUCUGCCGUCUCUUCAGCACUGCAGAGGCUGCUGUGUACAUGUUCAGCAUGAAGCGCUGCCCACCAGGCAUUUGGCCAUCCCACAAAAGGUACAUUGAAUAUGUAUGUGACAUGGUGGCAGAGGAGCCCAUCACGCCCCAUAGCAAGCCAAUGCUGGUGAAAUCUGUUGUCAUGACCCCCGUGCCACUGUUCAGCAAGCAGAGGAAUGGCUGCCGACCGUUCUGUGAGGUCUACGUUGGAGAGGAGCGUGUCACCACCACGUCGCAGGAAUAUGACAGAAUGAAGGAAUUUAAAAUUGAGGAUGGCAAGGCUGUCAUCCCCCUGGGCGUAACAGUUCAAGGAGACGUGCUCAUCAUCAUCUACCAUGCCAGGGCCACACUGGGAGGGAGGCUGCAGGCUAAGAUGGCGUCCAUGAAAAUGUUCCAGAUCCAGUUCCACACUGGGUUCGUGCCUCGAAACGCAACCACUGUGAAAUUUGCAAAAUAUGACCUGGAUGCUUGUGAUAUUCAAGAGAAGUACCCAGAUCUGUUCCAGGUGAACCUGGAAGUGGAGGUAGAGCCUAGAGACAGGCCCAGCCGAGAAGCUCCACCUUGGGAGAACACCAGCCUAAGGGGGUUAAACCCCAAGAUCCUCUUUUCCAACAGGGAAGAGCAGCAGGACAUUCUGUCUAAGUUUGGGAAGCCGGAGCUACCCCGGCAGCCGGGCUCCACAGCUCAGUAUGAUGCUGAGGCAGGGUCUCCGGAGGCUGAGAUCACAGAGUCGGACUCACCGCAGAGCAGCAGUACGGACACCAACCACUUUCUUCACACACUGGAUUGGCAGGAGGAAAAAGAACCAGAGACUGGGUUAGACAAUACCUCUCCUAAGGAGAGUCAGUCUGUCCUGAUUGCAGACGGAGAUGGAAGUGAAGUAUCAGAUGAAGAAGAGGCUUCAUUCCCCAGUGAGGAGAGGAAACCAGGAGCUGGAGAAGAUACACCAAGGCUGGCUGCUGGGACCAAACAGCAAGACUUAAUAUUUGAUGUGGGCAUGCUGGCUGCCCCACAGGAGCCUGUACAGCCCGAAGAAGGUGUUGAUCUCCUGGGGCUACACUCUGAGGGGGACUUAAGGCCUGCUGCCCCCUUACAGGCUUGUGGGGUCCCAUCUAGCAACACUGACCUGUUGAGCUGCCUUCUUGAACCAUCUGAUGCUGCUCAAGUAGGGCCUCCUGGUGACCUGCUUGGUGGUGAGGCUCCACUGCUGCUAGCAAGCCCAGUUUCUCCUCUUGGGCUGCAGAACAACCUACAAGGAAAAGUCCCUGACACUGUGGACCCAUUUGACCAGUUCCUGCUGUCAUCCAACUCAGACACCCAGCCCUGCUCCAAGCCUGAUCUCUUUGGAGAGUUUCUCAACUCUGACUCUGUAGCUUCCUCAACUGCCUUCCCAUCCACCCACAGUGCCCCACCCCCAUCCUGUAGCACUGCCUUCCUGCACCUAGGGGAUCUGCCAGCAGAGCCCAGCAAGGUAAUAGCUUCAUCCAGCCACCCAGAUCUGCUAGGAGGAUGGGAUACGUGGGCUGACACAGCUACACCUGGGCCAGCCUCCAUUCCAGUACCAGAAGGUGGAAUCUUACUGUAUACCUCUGGCUGUUCCGGAUUUCAUGAGACCAGGCUUGCCUCGAACUUAACAGAAACCCACCUGCUUUUUAUGUGCAAAUGUUAUUACAUGGGUGCUGGGAUCUGAACAUUGGUCUUUAUGAUUGAGCAGCAAGCACUCUUGACCACUAAGCCAAUCUUUCCAUCUUCAUAGCUAUCAUUUUUAAUGAUCGGAUAAUAUUUUGAGUAGUUGUACAAUAAUUAUUUCAAGAUUUUAUGCUUAGACUAGUCUCAAAUUUACAUUAUUAUAUCAUGAAGAACAGUCACAUGUUAGAAAGAUUAUAACAAAUGGUAAUACAAUGUCAGAACAAUGAAGACAUUUUCUGGUUCUUGGUACCAAAUGUUCACUGAGGAGCAGUGUGGAUGCUGGAGCCAGCUACUCUUCCAGGUACCCUCUUCUCUUCUGCAGGUCACCCAGCCCCUCCUGGCCCCAACCCCAGCCAAACCAAGUCUCAGAACCUUGACCCAUUUGCUGAUCUCAGUGAUCUCAGCUCUAGCCUCCAAGGCCUGCCUGCUGGACUUCCUGCAGGGGGCUUUGUUGGCGCACCAGCCCCCACUCAAAAGAGCAACAGCCCCUGGCAGGCAAAUCGUCCCACAGCCCCUGGAACCUCAUGGACCCCCCAGGCCAAGCCAGCCCCCAGAGCCUCUGAACAGCUAAGGUCUCACUUCAGUGUGAUCGGGGCCCGAGAAGAGAGGGGCGUCCGUGUGCCCAGCUUUGCCCAAAAGCCAAAGGUCUCAGAAAAUGAUUUUGAAGAUCUUCUGCCUAAUCAAGGCUUCUCUAAGUCUGACAAGAAGGGGCCAAAGACCAUGGCAGAGAUGCGGAAACAGGAACUUGCCAGAGAUACAGACCCACUCAAAUUGAAGCUUUUGGACUGGAUUGAAGGCAAGGAGAGGAACAUUCGUGCACUGCUGUCCACUCUGCACACGGUAUUGUGGGAUGGGGAGAGCCGCUGGACACCUGUGAGUAUGGCUGACCUGGUGACUCCAGAGCAGGUGAAGAAGCAGUACCGCCGUGCAGUGCUGGUAGUGCAUCCUGAUAAGGCCACAGGGCAGCCGUAUGAACAGUAUGCCAAGAUGAUCUUCAUGGAGCUGAAUGAUGCAUGGUCUGAGUUUGAAAACCAGGGCUCGAGGCCCCUCUUCUGAGGCCUGUGAUGGCUAUGGCUGCAGGAGCUGUUCAUGAAUCCUGAAUGCUGCUGGCCUGACUGAGGCACAAAUGGGACCAUAACAGGUGUGGCAGGUGAUAUCGCCCCAGGGGCCUGGACCAUCUACUCCCAAUCAUCCCUGCAUUCAUCAUGGACAAAUACCAUUCCAUGGCUGGGAGAGAAAGCAUUCCUCAGAUCUGAUGUUAGUUGUUUUGUUUUUCUUUUUCUUGUACCAGAGGAAAAGUGUUGAUUUAUAUUCCUUCCACAGCUGUCACAGUUUGUGAUUUACUUGGUGUCUGGUGGCUGUCACCUCUUGGAUGGCACAUGUCGCUGGCACUUCUCUCCUGUCAUUUCUUCAAAUAUGGGGGUACAUCCACAUCCUACUCUGAUCAGUUUGCCAAUCAUCUGUACAUAAUUAAACUAUUUUCUGAUGGCUGGUGCA
Mus musculus (house mouse) is the source of this 4908-nucleotide RNA transcript. It is a transcript of the gene named cyclin G associated kinase, with no coding region annotated. NCBI's taxonomy places the organism in Eukaryota, Metazoa, Chordata, Mammalia, Rodentia, Muridae. The record is from RefSeq and is marked validated. The transcript is spliced from 29 exons.